This is a long non-coding RNA of Manis pentadactyla (Chinese pangolin), 501 nucleotides long. RefSeq lists it as uncharacterized. The record is from RefSeq and is a predicted model, not a curated record. The transcript has 3 exons. Lineage: Eukaryota; Metazoa; Chordata; Mammalia; Pholidota; Manidae.
CCCUGGUUGGCCCCCCCCCCCCCGACAGCCCAAGGCGGACAGCGAUAGGCUCCUGAAGACGCUAGUUUUGGCCAGUCCCGGCCAGUCUGCCAAUAGGCCGGCGCCUGCGGAGUGCAGAUCGCGGUCCGCUUCGCCGAGGCUGGAGCGCUAACGAGGCAACAGGCUCGGCGGGUCCGGCCGGUGUUCCCCGAAGGACACCAGCCCAAUGGAGAUGGUCUGCAGGAAUGGCCGGAUGGCGGGUGUGAACUGUGGAGAGAGGCUGCUGGGUCACCGGCCACCAGGAGAGGCACCCAGAGCAGGCGGGAACGAGGUACAGGCUCCCUGCGGGCAGGGACUGUUUCAUUCACUGCUGUACCCCAGCCCUGGCAGGGUGCCUGGGCCACAGCCAGCACAUAGUACUUGGUGCUUGAUGGACUGCGAAUCCCACUCUAUGAAGCUGCUGUCAUUUACUUCCCAUCUAUGGGGCAGGGCUCUUUGAAGAUGAGGGCAGAGGAGACCUGG